This 1142-nucleotide long non-coding RNA is filed under the name Gallus gallus (chicken). Lineage: Eukaryota; Metazoa; Chordata; Aves; Galliformes; Phasianidae. The record is from RNAcentral.
UUUUACUUGAGGACUACUAACGUAGUUACAGGUAUACUGAGGACUAAAGGAGUUAAAGGCAAGGAGAGACUGAGGGCAUUAUGCUUGUUACGCCUGCAGAAGAGAAGUAACAGCAGCCUUUCCCAAUAACUAGAAUAGGGUUAUAGAAAACAUGGAACCAGACUCUUCUCUGAGGCUCAUAACUGAAGAACAAGAGGCAAUACUCAUAUCAUUCACAGAUCCCUUCAAACUUUUAUUUGUUCACAGAUGCAUUUCAUCGUAUCCAAAAAGUUUCAAAAUUCACUAAAUCACAGAACUUGUUCCAACAGUGUCAAGCUACACAGAAGAGACUAUCAGAAGGAUGCAGUUUUAAAGAGCUAAUUGAUAAGCAAAACAAAACAAAAGAUUUUUCUUACAUCAGGAAAGCACGUGAAGUCAUCCAAUUUUACUGAAGCAUGCUACUUUGGAAAAGAAGCAAUUCUUCUGCUGAGAGAAGCUGAAGAUUAGUUUAAAGUCUACAAAGAACAUCAAGGUUGGAAGAGACCCCUAGGAUUGCCUCAUCCAACCGCCAGCCCACCCCCACCAUGCCCACUGACCGUGUCCUUCAGUGCCACAUCUAACAUGGUUCUUGAACACCUCCAGGGAUGGUGAUGGCACCACCUCUCUGGGCAGACCGUGCAACUGCCUCGCCGUUCUUUCAGACAAGAAAUGUUUCCUAAUACCCAACCUGCAUCUCCUCUGGCACAACUUGAGACCAUCACCUCUCAUCCUAUUGCUGUUACAUGGGAGAAGAGGCCGACCACAGCCUCCCUUCAGGCAGCUGUAGAGAGCGUUAAGGUCUCACUGAGCCCUCUCUUCAGACUGAACAAUCCCAGUUCCCUCAGCCACUCCCCAUCAGAUUUGUGCUCCAGACCCCUCACAGCUUCGUCGCCCUUCUCUGGACAUUCUCUAGGGUCUGAGUGCCUUUCUCGGAGCGGGGCGGGGCCCAGAACUGAACACAGCGCCGGAGGUGCAGCAAAUAUGGCCCUGUCCUCACCUGCGCAGCUAACAAGUACCACUGUUUCUUUACUCUCUGACCUCCUGACUCAGUGCAAAGGCGUCCUGAGAGAACAACCAAGACGAAGCCCGGCACAACGGCACCGCCCGGAGCCGGACAGCGCGAG